Molecule: ribosomal RNA, 467 nt
Filed under: uncultured bacterium
Lineage: Bacteria
Description: partial 16S ribosomal RNA
Rfam family: Bacterial small subunit ribosomal RNA
Source: RNAcentral
GACGAACGCUGGCGGCGUGCUUAACACAUGCAAGUCGAACGGAAAGGCCUCUUUCGGGGGGUACUCGAGUGGCGAACGGGUGAGUAACACGUGAGUAACCUGCCCUUGACUUUGUGAUAACUUCAGGAAACUGGGGCUAAUACCGGAUAGGAGCUCCUGCUGCAUGGUGGGGGUUGGAAAGUUUCGGCGGUUGGGGAUGGACUCGCGGCUUAUCAGCUUGUUGGUGGGGUAGUGGCUUACCAAGGCUUUGACGGGUAGCCGGCCUGAGAGGGUGACCGGCCACAUUGGGACUGGGAUACGGCCCAGACUCCUACGGGAGGCAGCAGUGGGGAAUAUUGCACAAUGGGUGGAAGCCUGAUGCAGCAACGCCGUGUGCGGGAUGACGGCCUUCGGGUUGUAAACCGCUUUCGCUCAUGACGAAGCUUUGUGUGACGGUAGUGGGUAAAGAAGCACCGGCUAACUACGUG